GACGAACGCUGGCGGCGUGCUUAACACAUGCAAGUCGAACGGAAAGGCCCUGCUUUUGUGGGGUGCUCGAGUGGCGAACGGGUGAGUAACACGUGAGUAACCUGCCCUUGACUUUGGGAUAACUUCAGGAAACUGGGGCUAAUACCGGAUAGGAGCUCCUGCUGCAUGGUGGGGGUUGGAAAGUUUCGGCGGUUGGGGAUGGACUCGCGGCUUAUCAGCUUGUUGGUGGGGUAGUGGCUUACCAAGGCUUUGACGGGUAGCCGGCCUGAGAGGGUGACCGGCCACAAUGGGACUGAGAUACGGCCCAGACUCCUACGGGAGGCAGCAGUGGAGAAUAUUGCACAAUGGGCGGAAGCCUGAUGCAGCAACGCCGCGUGCGGGAUGACGGCCUUCGGGUUGUAAACCUCUGUCGCCUGUGACGAAGCGUGAGUGACGGUAAUGAGUAAAGAAGCACCGGCUAACUACGUG
RNAcentral lists this ribosomal RNA (468 nucleotides) under uncultured bacterium. RNAcentral describes it as "partial 16S ribosomal RNA". It matches the Rfam family "Bacterial small subunit ribosomal RNA", at positions 28 to 507 of the family's 1533-position model. The record is from RNAcentral.